UACGGAGGAUGCAAGCGUUAUCCGGAUUUAUUGGGUUUAAAGGGUGCGUAGGCAGGAAAAUAAGUCAGUGGUGAAAUCCUACAGCUUAACUGUAGAAUUGCCGUUGAUACUGUUUUUCUUGAGUAUGGUCAAGGAAGGCGGAAUGUGUAAUGUAGCGGUGAAAUGCUUAGAUAUUACACAGAACACCAAUUGCGAAGGCAGCUUUCUGGCCCAUUACUGACGCUGAGGCACGAAAGCGUGGGGAUCGAACAGGAUUAGAUACCCU
RNAcentral lists this ribosomal RNA (265 nucleotides) under uncultured prokaryote. RNAcentral's name for it is "partial 16S ribosomal RNA". It matches the Rfam family "Bacterial small subunit ribosomal RNA", at positions 524 to 788 of the family's 1533-position model. The record is from RNAcentral.